This 499-nucleotide ribosomal RNA is filed under the name uncultured bacterium. RNAcentral describes it as "partial 16S ribosomal RNA". It matches the Rfam family "Bacterial small subunit ribosomal RNA", at positions 28 to 507 of the family's 1533-position model. The record is from RNAcentral.
GACGAACGCUGGCGGCGUGCCUAAUACAUGCAAGUCGAGCGAAGUUUUUCUGGUGCUUGCACUAGAAAAACUUAGCGGCGAACGGGUGAGUAACACGUAAAGAACCUGCCUCAUAGACUGGGACAACUAUUGGAAACGAUAGCUAAUACCGGAUAACAGUAUUUCUCGCAUGAGAGAUAUUUAAAAGUUGGUUAUGCUAACACUAUGAGAUGGCUUUGCGGUGCAUUAGCUAGUUGGUGGGGUAAAGGCCCACCAAGGCGACGAUGCAUAGCCGACCUGAGAGGGUGAUCGGCCACACUGGGACUGAGACACGGCCCAGACUCCUACGGGAGGCAGCAGUAGGGAAUCUUCCGCAAUGGGCGAAAGCCUGACGGGGCAACGCCGCGUGAGUGAAGAAGGAGUUCGGUUCGUAAAGCUCUGUUGUUAGGGAAGAAUGGAUAUGUAGUAACUAUACAUGUAAGAGACGGUACCUAACCAGAAAGCCACGGCUAACUACGUG